Molecule: ribosomal RNA, 471 nt
Filed under: uncultured bacterium
Lineage: Bacteria
Description: bacterial SSU rRNA
Rfam family: Bacterial small subunit ribosomal RNA
Source: RNAcentral
CUACGCACUCCUACGGGAGGCAGCAGUGGGGAAUAUUGCACAAUGGGCGCAAGCCUGAUGCAGCCAUGCCGCGUGUAUGAAGAAGGCCUUCGGGUUGUAAAGUACUUUCAGCAGUGAGGAAGGUGGGUAUGUUAAUAGCAUAUUCAUUUGACGUUAGCUGCAGAAGAAGCACCGGCUAACUCCGUGCCAGCAGCCGCGGUAAUACGGAGGGUGCGAGCGUUAAUCGGAAUUACUGGGCGUAAAGCGCAUGCAGGUGGUUUGUUAAGUCAGAUGUGAAAGCCCGGGGCUCAACCUCGGAAUUGCAUUUGAAACUGGCAAACUAGAGUACUGUAGAGGGGGUAGAAUUUCAGGUGUAGCGGUGAAAUGCGUAGAGAUCUGAAGGAAUACCGGUGGCGAAGGCGGCCCCCUGGACAGAUACUGACACUCAGAUGCGAAAGCGUGGGGAGCAAACAGGAUUAGAUACCCUGAUAG